Molecule: unclassified non-coding RNA, 545 nt
Filed under: Phoma herbarum
Lineage: Eukaryota; Fungi; Ascomycota; Dothideomycetes; Pleosporales; Didymellaceae
Description: sequence contains ITS1, 5.8S rRNA gene, ITS2
Rfam family: 5.8S ribosomal RNA (bases 183-336)
Source: RNAcentral
CGUAACAAGGUUUCCGUAGGGUGAACCUGCGGAAGGAUCAUUACCUAGAGUUUGUGGGCUUUGCCUGCUAUCUCUUACCCAUGUCUUUUGAGUACUUACGUUUCCUCGGUGGGUUCGCCCGCCGAUUGGACAAUUUAAACCCUUUGCAGUUGCAAUCAGCGUCUGAAAAACAUAAUAGUUACAACUUUCAACAACGGAUCUCUUGGUUCUGGCAUCGAUGAAGAACGCAGCGAAAUGCGAUAAGUAGUGUGAAUUGCAGAAUUCAGUGAAUCAUCGAAUCUUUGAACGCACAUUGCGCCCCUUGGUAUUCCAUGGGGCAUGCCUGUUCGAGCGUCAUUUGUACCUUCAAGCAUUGCUUGGUGUUGGGUGUUUGUCUCGCCUUUGCGUGUAGACUCGCCUUAAAACAAUUGGCAGCCGGCGUAUUGAUUUCGGAGCGCAGUACAUCUCGCGCUUUGCACUCAUAACGACGACGUCCAAAAGUACAUUUUAACACUCUUGACCUCGGAUCAGGUAGGGAUACCCGCUGAACUUAAGCAUAUCAAUAA